RNAcentral lists this ribosomal RNA (627 nucleotides) under uncultured bacterium. RNAcentral describes it as "bacterial SSU rRNA". The stretch from base 1 to 536 matches the Rfam family "Bacterial small subunit ribosomal RNA", at positions 338 to 873 of the family's 1533-position model. The record is from RNAcentral.
CCUACGGGAGGCAGCAGUAGGGAAUAUUGGGCAAUGGACGAGAGUCUGACCCAGCCAUGCCGCGUGCAGGAAGAAGGCUUUCUGAGUCGUAAACUGCUUUUGACAGGGAAGAAUAAGCACUACGUGUAGUGUGAUGACGGUACCUGCAGAAUAAGCACCGGCUAACUCCGUGCCAGCAGCCGCGGUAAUACGGAGGGUGCGAGCGUUGUCCGGAUUUAUUGGGUUUAAAGGGUGCGUAGGCGGCCUUUUAAGUCCGGGGUGAAGCCCGUUGCUUAACAACGGAACUGCCCUGGAUACUGAGAGGCUUGAGUACAGACGAGGUUGGCGGAAUGGACCGAGUAGCGGUGAAAUGCAUAGAUACGGUCCAGAACCCCGAUUGCGAAGGCAGCUGACUAGGCUGUUACUGACGCUGAGGCACGACAGCGUGGGGAGCGAACAGGAUUAGAUACCCUGGUAGUCCACGCCGUAAACGAUGGAUACUCGCUGCGAGCUAAGAUUGUUCGUGGUCGUUAGGAACCGGAAGUAAGUAUCCCACCGUCGGGAGGUACGCCGGCGAACGGUAGAAACGUUAAAGGUAAAGUUAGACGGCGUGAGACGUGCCGACGGACGACGACGAGGGAGGUUAGG